UACGGGGGGAGCAAGCGUUGUUCGGAUUUACUGGGCGUAAAGGGCGCGUAGGCGGCCAGCACAAGUCAGUUGUGAAAUCUCCGGGCUUAACUCGGAAAGGUCAACUGAUACUGUGCGGCUAGAGUGCAGAAGGGGCAACUGGAAUUCUCGGUGUAGCGGUGAAAUGCGUAGAUAUCGGGAGGAACACCAGUGGCGAAGGCGGAGACCUGGGCCAAUACUGACGCUGAGGUGCGAAAGCGUGGGGAGCAAACAGG
Molecule: ribosomal RNA, 254 nt
Filed under: uncultured bacterium
Lineage: Bacteria
Description: partial 16S ribosomal RNA
Rfam family: Bacterial small subunit ribosomal RNA
Source: RNAcentral